Molecule: transfer RNA, 92 nt
Filed under: Kiritimatiellia bacterium
Lineage: Bacteria; Pseudomonadati; Kiritimatiellota; Kiritimatiellia
Description: Kiritimatiellae bacterium (sponge metagenome) tRNA-Ser
Rfam family: tRNA
About the family: Transfer RNA (tRNA) molecules are approximately 80 nucleotides in length. Their secondary structure includes four short double-helical elements and three loops (D, anti-codon, and T loops).
Source: RNAcentral
GGAGAGGUGCCGGAGCGGCUUAACGGGCACGCCUGGAAAGCGUGAGUACUCUUAACGGAGUACCGGGGGUUCAAAUCCCCCCCUCUCCGCCA